UACGUAGGUGGCAAGCGUUACUCGGAAUCACUAGGCGUAAAGCGCAGGUAGGCGGUUUGGUAAGUCUGUUGUGAAAGCUCCCGGCUUAACUGGGAGAGGCCAACGGAAACUACCAGGCUAGAGUGUGGUAGAGGUAGCUGGAAUUCCCGGUGUAGCGGUGAAAUGCGUAGAUAUCGGGAGGAAUACCUAUGGCGAAAGCAGGCUACUGGACCAUCACUGACGCUGAUCUGCGAAAGCUAGGGGAGCAAACAG
Molecule: ribosomal RNA, 252 nt
Filed under: uncultured bacterium
Lineage: Bacteria
Description: partial 16S ribosomal RNA
Rfam family: Bacterial small subunit ribosomal RNA
Source: RNAcentral